This is a non-coding RNA of Cavia porcellus (domestic guinea pig), 595 nucleotides long. The record is from the annotation of a RefSeq genome assembly. NCBI's taxonomy places the organism in Eukaryota, Metazoa, Chordata, Mammalia, Rodentia, Caviidae.
AACAAAUCUCAGAACUCUCUCAUGUGCUUUGAACUCUUCCCUCUCCGAGACUUCAAGAAGAGAACUGGCCAUAUAUACAGGACGGCAUGCAAAUAGGGCCUCCCUGUGCUGAUGAAAACCAGCCCAGCCCUCAUCCUUACAGCUCUGCAGAGGAUCCCAGUCCUGGAUGUCAAGCAGUUCCUAUUUAGUGAUCAGCACUGAGCACAGAAGUUUCACCAUGGCGCUGGUGCUGAGAUGGGUUUUAUUUCUGGCUACUUUAAAAGGUGUCCUGUGUGAGGAGCAACUGGUGGAGUCCGGGGGAGGCUUGGUGCAGCCUGGAGGGUCCCUGAGACUCUCUUGCGUGGCAUCAGGAUUCACCUUCAGUAGCUAUUACAUGAACUGGAUCCGCCAGGCUCCAGGGAAGGGGCUGGAGUGGAUCUCAAUGAUUAGCAAUGAUGGUAGCAGCACAAAGUACGCAGACUCCGUGAAGGGCCGAUUCACCAUCUCCAGGGACAACGGCAAGAACACGCUGUAUCUGCAGAUGAGCAGCCUGAGACCCGAGGACACGGCUGUGUAUUACUGUGCCAGAGACACAGUGAGGGGACUUCAGUGUUAG